This 253-nucleotide ribosomal RNA is filed under the name uncultured bacterium. Its description in RNAcentral is "partial 16S ribosomal RNA". It matches the Rfam family "Bacterial small subunit ribosomal RNA", at positions 524 to 776 of the family's 1533-position model. The record is from RNAcentral.
UACAGAGGGUGCAAGCGUUGCUCGGAAUCAUUGGGCGUAAAGGGUAGGUAGGUGGUCUCAUUUGUCUGGGGUGAAAGCCCAGGGCUUAACCCUGGAAGUGCCCCGGAAACGGUGAGACUGGAGUCUUGGAGAGGGUCGUGGAAUUCCCGGUGUAGCGGUGAAAUGCGUAGAGAUCGGGAGGAACACCAGCGGCGAAGGCGGCGACCUGGACAAGUACUGACACUCAACUACGAAAGCGUGGGGAGCAAACAGG